AGCCAUUAGGGUGGAGACUCUGACCUAAUGCUGGCAGCUUUAUAGAAAGAGGGAGAGACUAGUUCUCUCUCUCUCUCUCUCUCUCUCUCUCUCUCUCUCUCACACACACACACACACACACACACACACACACACACACACACAUACACACACACAAACACACAUGUUUCUCAACAUGUGCUACCCUGCACCAUCUAGAUGCUGCCAGCAAGAAAGCUUUCACCAGAUACAGCUCCUUGACCUUGGACCAGAACUGUGAGCCACAGUGAACCAGUGCCGACUGCAGCUGUAGAGAGAGCAGUACUGCCACCACCACUCAGCAGACAGAUUCUCCAGCCCAGUGUUUUACCCUCACAUUGAACAGGUAGAACAUGCUGCUUGGGAGUCUAUCUCAGCCUGCGCUCUAAAAAUACAGCAGUGGGAAGCAUUCUGCACUCACCACUGUACUACAGAGAUGCCCAGACACAAGUUCAAUGUGACCCUCAACUACUCCGG
This 495-nucleotide long non-coding RNA is filed under the name Mus musculus (house mouse). RNAcentral describes it as "predicted gene, 47390". Lineage: Eukaryota; Metazoa; Chordata; Mammalia; Rodentia; Muridae. The record is from RNAcentral.